GACGAACGCUGGCGGCGUGCCUAAUACAUGCAAGUCGAACGAACCGCGACUAAGUGCUUGCACUAAGUCAAGGUGAGUGGCGAACGGGUGAGUAACACGUGGGUAACCUACCUCAUAGUGGGGGAUAACAGUCGGAAACGACUGCUAAUACCGCAUAGGACAUAGGAUCACAUGAUCCAGUGAGGAAAGGUGGCGCAAGCUAUCGCUAAGAGAUGGACCCGCGGUGCAUUAGCUAGUUGGUAGGGUAAAGGCCUACCAAGGCGAUGAUGCAUAGCCGACCUGAGAGGGGGAUCGGCCACAUUAGGACUGAGACACGGCCCAAACUCCUACGGGAGGCAGCAGUAGGGAAUCUUCCGCAAUGGACGCAAGUCUGACGGAGCAACGCCGCGUGAGUGAAGAAGGUCUUCGGAUCGUAAAGCUCUGUUGUUAGAGAAGAACAGCGCAUAGAGUAACUGCUAUGCGUGUGACGGUAUCUAACCAGAAAGCCACGGCUAACUACGUG
RNAcentral lists this ribosomal RNA (502 nucleotides) under uncultured bacterium. RNAcentral's name for it is "partial 16S ribosomal RNA". It matches the Rfam family "Bacterial small subunit ribosomal RNA", at positions 28 to 507 of the family's 1533-position model. The record is from RNAcentral.